GACGAACGCUGGCGGCGUGCCUAACACAUGCAAGUCGAGCGAAUGAAGUUCCUUCGGGAAUGGAUUUAGCGGCGGACGGGUGAGUAACACGUGGGCAACCUGCCUCAUAGAGGGGAAUAGCCUCCCGAAAGGGAGAUUAAUACCGCAUAAGAUUGUAGUACCGCAUGAUACAGCAAUUAAAGGAGCAAUCCGCUAUGAGAUGGGCCCGCGGCGCAUUAGCUAGUUGGUGAGGUAAUGGCUCACCAAGGCGACGAUGCGUAGCCGACCUGAGAGGGUGAUCGGCCACAUUGGGACUGAGACACGGCCCAGACUCCUACGGGAGGCAGCAGUGGGGAAUAUUGCACAAUGGGGGAAACCCUGAUGCAGCAACGCCGCGUGAGUGGUGACGGCCUUCGGGUUGUAAAGCUCUGUCUUCAGGGACGAUAAUGACGGUACCUGAGGAGGAAGCCACGGCUAACUACGUG
RNAcentral lists this ribosomal RNA (464 nucleotides) under uncultured bacterium. RNAcentral's name for it is "partial 16S ribosomal RNA". It matches the Rfam family "Bacterial small subunit ribosomal RNA", at positions 28 to 507 of the family's 1533-position model. The record is from RNAcentral.